Molecule: non-coding RNA, 116 nt
Filed under: Paramoeba aestuarina
Lineage: Eukaryota; Discosea; Flabellinia; Dactylopodida; Paramoebidae
Source: RNAcentral
UUUCUAGUUGACGACUUAGACGAACCCCCAUUUGCUGGCUACUUUCAAAAUUUUUUCUCUCCACUCCUUGAUAAUAGCCAGGCAAAACAAACCGUUAACCCUCUCCCUGAUAUCCC